Molecule: ribosomal RNA, 450 nt
Filed under: uncultured bacterium
Lineage: Bacteria
Description: SSU rRNA
Rfam family: Bacterial small subunit ribosomal RNA
Source: RNAcentral
AGGAUGAACGCUGGCGGUCUGCUUAACACAUGCAAGUCGAACGGAGUACCUCGGUACUUAGUGGCGGACGGGUGAGUAACGCGUGAGAAUCUGCCCUUAGGUCGGGGACAACCAUUGGAAACGAUGGCUAAAUACCGGAUAAGCCGAGAGGUAAAAGAUUAAUUGCCUAGGGAAGAGCUCGCGUCUGAUUAGCUAGUUGGUGAGGUAAAGGCUCACCAAGGCAUCGAUCAGUAGCUGGUCUGAGAGGAUGAUCAGCCACACUGGGACUGAGACACGGCCCAGACUCCUACGGGAGGCAGCAGUGGGGAAUUUUCCGCAAUGGGCGAAAGCCUGACGGAGCAAGACCGCGUGAGGGAGGAAGGCUCUUGGGUUGUAAACCUCUUUUCUUGGGGAAGAACAAAAUGACGGUACCCAAGGAAUCAGCAUCGGCUAACUCCGCGCCAGCGGCGC